RNAcentral lists this long non-coding RNA (936 nucleotides) under Heterocephalus glaber (naked mole-rat). Its description in RNAcentral is "lncRNA (ENSHGLG00100043863.1)". Lineage: Eukaryota; Metazoa; Chordata; Mammalia; Rodentia; Bathyergidae. The record is from RNAcentral.
CGGCCUUCCUACUUGCCCCGCCCCUCCCCGCCCCAGGCUACUACCCGCCGGUCCCUGCUGCUCUCCCCCGCGAAGCCCAGUCGCCGCCAUGGUGCAGGCCUGGUACAUGGACGAGUCCGCGGACGACCCACGGCUGCCUCACCGUCUCGAGCCCGACCGCCCAGUGAGCCUGGAGCAGCUGCGCAGACUCGGCGUGCUCUACUGGAAGGUGCGCGGGGCUGCUGCGCCCGAUGGCCCUCUCCCGCGGCCGGAGCAUGGCGCAUGCGCUGCACGGCGCUGGUGGUGGGGUGCCGCGGCCUCCGGUCCGGGCCGCUCUGCGCAUGCGCAGGCCGGGUUGGGCGCCUGCGUCUGUUUGGUUCUGCCUCCAGCUGCUGUGCUUCCCUGGGUCAGAUGGAGUGCAGGCAGGGCCCGCUCUGGAGGCAGCCCUUCUCUGCAGUACUAGGUAGCGAGAUGAGCCGCGCUCCCAGACCUCUUUAAUGUUGAGACAGGGCCUCUGUAAGUUACUAAGUUGCCCAACUGGAACUCUAGCUCGAAGUCCUCCUGCCUCAGCCUCCCUAGUGCUGGGAUGACAGGCGUGCGUCACCACGCUGGGCCGGGACCUGCUUCUGGACUCUUACCUGAGACAGUGAGAUUACAUGCCUGUGCCACCAUAGCUGAUCAGAGCCAUCCUUUCAGUGUGUCUCUUGACUGGUGUCUUAGUGACUGCGGUCCGAGCAAACCACACUCAGACCCGCUUUGCGCGCCGCCGGCCCGGCCGGGACCCCGCCAGGGCAGCUGGGCUUGGGAGGAGCAGAUCGGUCACCCAGCCAGGGCCUGUAAUUCCAGCACUCGGGAGGCUGAGGCAGAGGAUCGCUUCCGAGUUCGAGGCCAACCGGAACUACAUGGCGAGACCCUGUCUGAAAACAGUAAAAUGUCACCUAGUGGACCCUGUGCAGG